RNAcentral lists this ribosomal RNA (500 nucleotides) under uncultured eukaryote. RNAcentral's name for it is "bacterial SSU rRNA". It matches the Rfam family "Eukaryotic small subunit ribosomal RNA", at positions 1269 to 1795 of the family's 1831-position model. The record is from RNAcentral.
UAUGGGUGGAGGUGCAUGGCCGUUCUUAGUUGGUGGAGUGAUUUGUCUGGUUAAUUCCGUUAACGAACGAGACCUUAGCCUGCUAACUAGUCGAUCAAAUGAGAAUUUGUUCCGACUUCUUAGAGGGACUUUGUGUUCUAAGCACAAGGAAGUUUGAGGCAAUAACAGGUCUGUGAUGCCCUUAGAUGUCCUGGGCCGCACGCGUGCUACACUGACGCAUACAGCGAGUACUCUCCGGCUCCGCGAGGCAGCCGGUAAUCAGCAAUAUGCGUCGUGAUGGGGAUAGAUCUUUGGAAUUAUAGAUCUUGAACGAGGAAUUCCUAGUAGGCGCAAGUCAUUACCUUGCGCCGAUUAAGUCCCUGCCCUUUGUACACACCGCCCGUCGCUCCUACCGAUUUCGAGUGGUCCGGUGAACCCUUUUGGACUGCGCUGGGUCUUCGUGCUCUAGUGUGAAAAAUCAAGUAAACCAUAUCACUAAGGGAAGGGAGGAGUCAACUUGC